This 253-nucleotide ribosomal RNA is filed under the name uncultured bacterium. RNAcentral's name for it is "partial 16S ribosomal RNA". It matches the Rfam family "Bacterial small subunit ribosomal RNA", at positions 524 to 776 of the family's 1533-position model. The record is from RNAcentral.
UACGUAGGCAGCGAGCGUUGUUCGGAAUUACUGGGCGUAAAGAGUGUGUAGGCGGUGCUCUAAGUUCGGUGUGAAAUCUCUCGGCUUAACUGGGAGGGUGCGCCGGAAACUGGAGUGCUCGAACGUGGGAGAGGAAAGCGGAAUUCCUGGUGUAGCGGUGAAAUGCGCAGAUAUCAGGAGGAACACCGGUGGCGAAGGCGGGUCUCUGGGCCGAUACUGACGCUGAGGAGCGAAAGCGUGGGGAGCGAACAGG